Long non-coding RNA from Scylla paramamosain (green mud crab), 1399 nucleotides. RefSeq lists it as uncharacterized. Lineage: Eukaryota; Metazoa; Arthropoda; Malacostraca; Decapoda; Portunidae. The transcript has 5 exons. The record is from RefSeq and is a predicted model, not a curated record.
CACUUUCCAUUUAACAGAGAGGCGCUGGAGGGAGGAAAUUGCACGGGCAUCGGUGCUGAACGUGCCUCGAGUGUCGCCAAGAAACUGCCAGGGAGGCGUGGGUGUUGACGACCUGUGGCGCCUCAGGACACGUGAGGUACCCGUCGCGGCCCCCUCCUUCCUCUCCUGACAGCCGCUCACAUCACGGCUGGGAAUGAGGUGACACGUGGAGCUCCGGUCUGUUCCACAUCUCCGCCGCCGCCGAGUGGGUGUGUCAGCUCGUCGUAAAAUUUGUCCUAAGACAACUCCUCCAGAGGGUUAAUGAACGGCGCCUAUAGGGGUUCAUUCCACGCCUGUAUCAUAGUCAUCGCCAGUAUCAUCGUCAGAGGCCCGGAUUGAGAAACGUUGUGCUCCCUCAUCACAACUGUUUUCAAAGACCAAGGAGAUGAUUACCUGGGUUCUCAAGACCAUUUCUCCUGUUAAUAGUACAAAACACUCUUAAAAACCCGUAUCACUUCAAUUAGAGCCCUUUGAAAGUAAUCUAGGUGCGACUAGUAGUGUUUCAGAAUAGGGUCAAUAGACAUAUACACAGGCGGCUCGUUGUCUCGUGUUCAUUAUGCUGCCUUAGUGUUUGUAUUGACUGUAUUCUUUUUGUGUUGUAAUUCUGCGUCUGUGACCUGGAGUAGGUGGUGCAGCAAAAGGGGUUCUGUCUGUCAGAUCACUGUCUCGUGUUUAUGAUGUCGCCUCAACGUCUCGAGGUUUUCAUUGCCGCCCCGCACGGAACUCCCUCUAAAGGAUCCUGAUGUGUACUUCCUGACACGAGACCUCAGUGGAAGUUAUGGCUCAUUGGACAACCCAUAGCCAAACUUUGGUCAUGUAUACGUAUCGAGACGGAAAGUAAGACAUGGGAGCUUGGUGAAAGAAGGAGAGAUUGAGUGAACUAACGUGAUGGGAUAAGAAUAUUGCAAAAAAUUGAAUUAGUUAAAAAAAAAUGUGGAAUAAAGCAAAACAGCUGAGUGAAAGAAGGAAAACUUGUGAACUAACGAAAUAAAAAGCAAAGGUAAAGGAUGUACAGUGAAAUAACGGGAUAAAAUAUUAAAGAGAUAGAUUAAAAAUAAAUAAAUAAGUGAAACAGUAAAAAAAAAAAAAAAUUAGAAAUGACACCAGAGACAACGUGGAAAAGUCACCAGAGGAAAGGAGGAAAAAAAAAAAAACAAAUAAUGGGAUUGGAAGCCACCAGAGAAAAGAGGAGAAAAAAGUAACGGGAUUCGAACCCACUAACGCCACCUGGAAGCGUCACCUCCUAACCCUGUGACCUACACCCCCACACCACUCCCGCCACCCUGCACUAUAUAUACUGUGGACCGAACAAAAAUAUAAAAGAAAAAAAUAGGGAAUAAUUGACCUAUAUAAUACUUAA